RNAcentral lists this unclassified non-coding RNA (199 nucleotides) under uncultured Sebacina. RNAcentral describes it as "sequence contains ITS2". The record is from RNAcentral. Lineage: Eukaryota; Fungi; Basidiomycota; Agaricomycetes; Sebacinales; Sebacinaceae.
UACUCUCACACUCCCAAUUUUUUGGAUUGGGAGUGGUGGACUUGGGUGUUGCUGCUUUACGGUGGCUCACCUCAAAUGGAGUAGUGCAACUCUUGGUUGGACAUAGUACGGCAUGAUAAGUGUCUUCGCCAGUGCCUCACUUAGAGGGUGGCUGAUCGGGAGCUCUGUGCUUCUAACCGUCUUUGGACAAUCUCUGACA